RNAcentral lists this ribosomal RNA (612 nucleotides) under Triticum aestivum (bread wheat). RNAcentral describes it as "partial small subunit ribosomal RNA". Lineage: Eukaryota; Viridiplantae; Streptophyta; Magnoliopsida; Poales; Poaceae. The record is from RNAcentral.
AUGCUCGCCUUAACUCCUCCGCGUCGCAUCUUGCAAAAUGUGAACAAGUUGGCAUGAGCUUUCCUUUGGUCCGGAUCGGAUAAGACCACAGGUGCAAAGUGCAAGGUAAAUUUGAAGGAUGUUUGCCGCCCGCAGGAAUAUGGUGGCCUUGGUGUUCUCAACACCGAUAAGUUUGCUUGUGCCUUACGCCUGAGAUGGCCAUGGUUUGAAUGGACGGAGUCAAACAAGAUGUGGGUCGGUUUGGGCAACCCAUGUGAUGAGGAAGACAUUUAUUUCUUCUAUGCCUCAACUACCAUUACCGUGGGGAAUGGGGCCAAAACACCAUUCUGGGAUUCCCCCUGGCUACAUGGAGCCAAGCCAAAGGAUGUCGCUCCACUAAUCUUUGAGGCUUCCAUGAGAAAAAAUUGGAAGGUGCGGGAGGUUCUAGAAAACAACGCAUGGAUCCUCAAGAUCAACCCCUCCACGGCCAUCUCCAUCGAGCAUAUCCGGCAAUUCUUCACGCUUUGGUCGCUCGUGCAUAAUUUCCACCUCGAUGAGCUUUCAGAGGAUUCUAUUAUAUGGAAGCACACGGCCGAUGGGCUCUACACCGCGGCCUCCGCAUAUAGGGCAUAG